GAUGAACGCUGGCGGCGUGCCUAAUACAUGCAAGUCGAGCGAACGGACGAGAAGCUUGCUUCUCUGAUGUUAGCGGCGGACGGGUGAGUAACACGUGGAUAACCUACCUAUAAGACUGGGAUAACUUCGGGAAACCGGAGCUAAUACCGGAUAAUAUUUUGAACCGCAUGGUUCAAAAGUGAAAGACGGUCUUGCUGUCACUUAUAGAUGGAUCCGCGCUGCAUUAGCUAGUUGGUAAGGUAACGGCUUACCAAGGGAACGAUGCAUAGCCGGCCUGAGAGGGGGAUCGGCCACACUGGAACUGAGACACGGUCCAGACUCCUACGGGAGGCAGCAGUAGGGAAUCUGCCGCAAUGGGCGAAAGCCUGACGGAGCAACGCCGCGUGAGUGAUGAAGGGCUUCGGAUCGUAAAACUCUGUUAUUAGGGAAGAACAUAUGUGUAAGUAACUGUGCACAUCUUGACGGUACCUAAUCAGAAAGCCACGGCUAACUACGUG
RNAcentral lists this ribosomal RNA (497 nucleotides) under uncultured bacterium. RNAcentral's name for it is "partial 16S ribosomal RNA". It matches the Rfam family "Bacterial small subunit ribosomal RNA", at positions 28 to 507 of the family's 1533-position model. The record is from RNAcentral.